GUCAAUUACUCUGUGAGAAUCAAUGAAACAUAUUUCGCCAAUGUCACUGUGCUAAAUGGCUCUGUCUUCCUCCGUGUGAUGGAGAAAGCCCAGAAAAUGAAUGAUACUAUAUUUGGGUAGUUUCACAAUGGAGGAGCGCUCAUGGGGGCCCUAUAUCACCUGUAUUCAGGGCCUAUGUGCCAACAAUAAUGACAGAACCUACUGGGAACUUCUGAGUGGAGGAGAACCGCUGAGCCAAGGAGCUGGUAGUUACGUUGUCCACAACGGAGAAAACUUGGAGGUUUGUUGGAGCAAAUACUAAUAAGCCUAAACUUUCCUCAGCUGCAUAAAAUCCAUUUGCAGUGGAGUUCCAUGUUGAUUGUCUUUAUGCCUUCUUCUUCAUUUAUCCCAGUAUGAAUAGGAGAGUUAAUAACCUCCCCUUCUCUCUCUACAUGUUCAAUAAAAGUUGUUAAAAGAUUAACAACUAUACAAAAAGA
This 476-nucleotide small RNA is filed under the name Pongo abelii (Sumatran orangutan). RNAcentral's name for it is "retained intron". Lineage: Eukaryota; Metazoa; Chordata; Mammalia; Primates; Hominidae. The record is from RNAcentral.